Molecule: non-coding RNA, 5863 nt
Organism: Osmia lignaria (orchard mason bee)
Lineage: Eukaryota; Metazoa; Arthropoda; Insecta; Hymenoptera; Megachilidae
Source: RefSeq, a predicted model, not a curated record
UACCCUUAUGAAAUUGAGCUACCGCAAAUCGGCAGCCAUGAAUUUUUUACCACUUCAAUAUACUAAGGCUAUUUAACAUACCCAUGUAACUUAGUAUCUAGCUCUAAUUCCAUCAUUAACUUCUAAUAUUAAUAUUUUCAAUUACAUAUGCAAAAGGAGUAAGGAAAGUAAUCUCUCGGAGUGAGACCCAUCGAGGCAUCAAUUUAUAACCUGAGGUUGGAUUGACCCAGAGUCCACCCAUGGUGAUGAAAGAGAAAAACUGUGUGGCCAGGAUGGUACAGAGGUUGUCGCUUUUGGAAAAUGUUCUCGAUUCAUUAGAAGGGAACGUGGCGCGUUAACGAGGCCAAUAACGGUGCAGGCAGGUGCCACGUGCCGAGGACCACUGUCGGUGGCCAUCAUCGUACACUUACUUUCUUGCUGUUCACCAGUAAUAUUUUGAAUGAAACAGUAACACAGGCCCGUUUGAGAAAGCGGAUUAAUUAAAAGCCCCUACGUGAGUCGAUGGAUGAAUUUUUAUCGAUGGAAUACGUCUUGACGUCCAACAAGGGCGAUCAUCGAACUCGGGCACGAUCGUUCACUUUCCUUCGGUUGAAUCGUUCCUCUUCUUGCCCGUUUCAUUUCUUUUUCAUUAAUUUCUCCCCGUUGAACAUUUUUGGGGAACGACGUUGCGAGCAUUUAGCAUAGAUCAUUAAAUCCUCGUUUAACGAUCGUUUUCUCUUCCAUUAUUUUCCAAUUUUUAUCAUUAAUGACGGUAAUGGCGAUUUCCGAUUUCACGCGUCGUUUCUUGGCAUUUUAUAUUCCUCGCAUCCCAGUGCUGCCUUUUUUUCUGUCAUUUCCUUCGCAAGGAAACCCUCGUCGAAGGCUAAGCCAGCUGUUCACCCCUCGGCACGGAAGUAAUCCUGGGCUAUCGGCUUCCUCUGGGCCUGGAAAAAACGGAAGAUGAAUUACGACUUCUGGAUGCUGGAAACGAGGACCAGGCGUCUGUAAACCUUUCCAGGGAGGCGAAGAAUGUGCAUCUUCUCGGGAGAAACAUUUUGUAAACACAGACAUUUGCAUCAAAAGAUGAUAAUCGUAAAGUCAGCCGAAAGAUCAAAGAAACACCUGUCACUCCAGAAUCACCUGUCAUUCGAGACCCGUACGAAGCUUAUAUUUUGACCAUAAACAUCCAAUAAUUGUGUUGUCACAGUCGCCUUAAUAAUGUUUCCAAGUGUCGGACAGGCUACCGACGGUUGAUGUUCGAUCGCAGGUGAACAUUCUGUCGUAGACAUUUCACGCAUCUAUUACAGUGAAAACUAUCAAUUAUAAACGGAGCAAGUAGCUGAUAAAUAUUAAUGAUAUAAUUUCGACGAAAUUCCAACUUCGUGAGUUAAACCUUUUCCAAGUUGGAUAAAAGAUCGCAGGGGAAUUAUUCGGCGUAUCUACGAUCUUCCCUCGCAGGAUUACGCAAGGAGUCGUCGCGAAAGGGGAGAGAUAUGGUAGGAACGUGGAGGAAAGGAUUUGGCAAAGAUUUCGUGAAAGAUUCCCAGAGUAUCGAGGAGGGCGUAAAGACGACAGAUUGCCGGCUUCGAUCGAGACAAGUCGAAGGGUUUGCCAGCCGGUCGACUCGUUUCUUUCACUGGCUUUCGCUUCGCUACACGACUGACUCCUGCCCGCGAGGUUUUCACCCUUGCGAGACCUUCUGGAAAGCCUUCACCUUCUCGCCCCAUUUCUUCUCGCUUUAUUCCCUUACCUUGCAAUUUCUAUGAAAAGUAAGUCUAUCAAUUUUUUCGACCUGUAUAUCUAAUAAGCGUACCACAAGGUAGGCUCCAACUGUGGACCUUCUGUUUUUGUAAAGGGUUAAUCCAUCUUUCCAGAGGCUCUGUCACGAAUAAUACUAAUUUAUCGCGUUUCCAGGUCGAAAAAGAUCUCGGAAAGCGUCUCGACGUCGAUGGAACACCUGAAAGGAGGGCACCAAAGGGUGAGUCUCGUGGUUAGAUCGGUACGUUGGCCAUGAUCAGAACACUUGGGAGAUUCGGUGGUUGUGCACGGUUUGCAGAUAAGAAAGAAGACGCUCCGGGGCAACGGUAGUCGGAGUCGGGGAGGUAGAGGGCGAGGAACAGCUGCGAGACACCCCAAGUGUACGAAGAAUCUUUUGAAUCACUGACUGGCUGCUGUACGGUUCUCUUGUCUUCCCCCGAUCUUCUUCUUCUUCGUCGUCAUCGUUCCAACGGUCGUUGCCAACAGUCGAUGGAAAUGAAGGAACGAAUCGAUUUGCGUUCAGGAUAAACUUUGGGGACACCGGAGGGUCGUUCUUCUUCAACCACCGACCACGUCGUUUCUCACUAUAAUGAAUCUCUGUGAUUUCCUUGUACUCCAUUAUUUACGUAUGACCGUACUCGCAAUUAACAUUUUAUAAUUGCAAAACGUGGUUAGGCAAAUGUCUAUAAGAAGAAUUGUCCUUCGAAUCGUUGGUGUUGUCCUGGAGUCAGACCAUACGAGUCAUCGACACCUGCCCAUACCUGGACUCUUCUAGUUCCCUUGACCCAGUCCUCUUUCUGUUGGAACGACCGUUGCGAUUUCAGCGGGUCGUUUGCGUAAGGAAGACGAUCCAUAGGGGAGGAUCUAAAAUUCAAAAGAUCCACCGUCAGGGGUGUUUAUAAGAAGAAUGAAACGUGUUGGCACAAAAGAUGAAUUCUUCCUGAUGAUUAACAGCCACCAAAACCCUGUGUACGUUAACGUCUUAUACCUACACCAAUUCAAAAUAAUAAACUAAGGAAGUUAAUCCAAACGACGUAGAUCCACAAAGAAGCCAAGUAACGAUAACUCAACAGUCUGUGCUUUUUUCACCCCUUUCUCGACCGGUGUUCUUCUCCAAAGGAACGUCGGAACCAGGAAAGAGGGAAAAAAGAGGAAUAGGGCGAAGAAACUUUGAAAAUCCCGUGUCAUGCCAACGGCAGAGGGUUGAACAACCCUACGCGAGCCUUUAUUAAGCACCGGAGACUUAUUCUCGGUGCCAGACGGCGUGCAGUAAAAAGGGGGAAGAGGAAGAUCCUGGCAACCCUUUCUCUAGGAAGACGCCAGGUUCCGGCAUAGUUUACGACCUUUCCACUUUCGUUUUCCUGCUUUCAUCGUUCGUUGCUGCACGGGAACGUUUCCAAGGAAUCCGUGAAUCGAUCGAUGCCUCGGAAUCGGAAUGGAAGAAAGCUGUGCUCGCACCUGCAAGCUCUUCCGGUUGGAAAAUGAAAGAUGGAAAUACGUCCGUGCAGAGUGUUUGCAGAAUCUGUUUGCAGAAUCCGCUUUCCAUCGCUUUCAGCGUACGCAACAUCGAAGCUGAUCCAGGAUUUUCCACGGGCAUCAGUUUUCACCGUACCUGUGGAAAAGCCUGCCGUGAAAGGAAUCGUGCAAAACCCAACUACGACCCCCGAAGCUGCACCCCACGAGUCGCGUUCCCCGUUCGCCGAUAAUCUCCAGAGAUUAUUUCCGGGACGCAGGAAUAAAGGGACGAAAACCUGUACGUGCUCCACAUACGCGUACAGAGUCGUUGGAAGAAGAAGCAUCCUUCAAAGAUGGCACAUGCAGAGAAACAGAGGCUCUUUCUCUCCUCUCUGGGAGCAUCUGUUGCAUCGUGCAUCAACACCACCACCACUGGAAGGCACCAUCGCUACCACCGGCCCCGACGACCACCAGGUGCUAACCCACCUUCCGUGUCUCCCCAUCGUCGUCUUCGAAAAAAACCUUCCUCGUACCCCUCCCUCUCUGUUCUGCUCCCUCCUUUAUUCCCUGAGAUUUCCACCAUCUGCGUCUCUGCGCCACCCCUAGUCGCCUCUCCGUCCAACAGGCAUGCUCGACUAUAGGAACGUCCUCGUUAGACAUCCUCGAAGACUUCUGGCAACCACCUUCUGCCAAAUACGAGACUAAUUGUCAGCCAUCGUGGCUCGGCUCGAGGUGAUUUCUUGCUUCGAACUGGACAGGGUGCUGCGUGUUGAUGCAGCAACUGUUGAUGGAUGCUGUGGUAAACGCGUGGAGGGAAGAGCAUGGAUUCACACGGAAGUAAUGGCGAAGGAGGGGAUAAUCAGAGCUGGGUGUUAAUGGUACAAUGGGCAGCAUCUACCGGUUAGGUUCGUUCGAAUUUUCAAAGUUUUCUUCAACGGCGAGAGUCGCUAAUGGGGGACGAGCCGUUGUGUCGCGAAAAGGUAAGAAGGUGACAGAGCAGGGAGGAAGAGGGUGUGGCACCCCGCAUUCUUCCUUAGGGGCCGUGUACAGAGAAACUCCAGCGUCGGCGACUUUGCACAUCGGGCAACACCUGAUGAACGCAUUCAUCGACGGACACGCGAUGUUUUGAGAACUCCAUCCAGAAGUAUCGAUCCCACCUUCCUGUCCGUUGACUCUGCCCGCUGACCUGGACUGUCGUAUUGUCAUUUUGGUAGAAAGUUUCCAGGAAAAUGACAGGAAACGAUGAAGAAGAUCCAAGCGACUGCCUUAUAAUUAUAUGGACAUGAAAGAGGAAAAGCUCAAGAUUAUUUCAGUUAUGAUCGCAGCCGUAAUUACAGCAACAGAAUCAUUGGAAACGGUUCAUCGAGUCCAGCUUAUUAGCCCAACGAUAAAAUAAUCGUUGGCAGUUUGUAGACGUAUAAUUACCUUGAUCUCGCUGCAAUUACCUUUCGUUAUACCUGUCGGCUGUGAGAACAGGUUGCUACUUUGUGGAACUCGAGUACCACGUAAAGACAACGGUAUCUCUUCCAUUCUUAGUUCGAAUAUAAAAAGGUCUAUCGUUACAAGAACCAUUUAAUUGCACGAAAUAUGCAGUCUCAAGGUGUUAAUGAAUAAAAUAAAAAAUAACAGUAUUAAGUCUCCCAUGAAAGUCUCAAAGCGAGCCAAUAACAAUCCACCCUAUACUAUUCUCUAUGGAACUGGCAUUAAAGCUCCCCUGUUAUGUCUGCGAGAGACGAGUUAAAAAGUUUCUGCUUUCACAGCUGCUGCUCUGCUACCCAUUGGAAAGUUGUUUAUACUUUCGCGAAGCUGUGUACAGUAUUAUCAGCAAGAUUCAGAGAGAGGAGCAGCAGCACGCGAACAGAAGGAAACUCGGGCGACAACUUUCGUAAUACAACAGUUCGCGUGUUUUAACAUCAUCUUGGGUUCCUAAGAGCCAAGGCAAAUGGUAUCUAUCUUCCCCUUAUCCAAGAGAAGCAUGCGUUACCCUUUUCUAAAAAGGAGGCAAUAUUCAUCCCGAUUACCUUGCUAAUUACUCAUCUCGUGUAAAUUAAGCAUAUAGUAACUGUGGUGUAUGGAGGGAGCCACCUUCCCCUUCGAGGGAGAGAAGGCUAAGGUGCCCGGCAGCGUACAAAGCGUUUUCAAAGGGCUCCACCGAGUGCAGGGGUGUUUUUUUUCUCGAGGGUGGAUGAAAAGAUAAAGGAGUCCUCGAACUAACAACCGGGAAGGUGGAAGAGGAAACGGUGAAGAUCGGAUCUUUCCUUACGCGCAGUUAUGCAGGAAUCAGUAGACUAGUAAAUUCAGGUAACUUCUAUUAUUCACGGAACGAACGUACGAACGAAUUGGAGCAUGAAGGGAGAGAAGUGAAGCAUGCGACGAUGUACGAAUAGAUGUAGCGUGGCAGGAAAGCGGUUUUGCUUGGCCAUCAGCUUUCAAAGAGAGACAGAUGAGUAGCUGGACCACUGGCUGGUAGCCGGUGUACGUACGUGCAGCAGGUGAGCAGUAGGUCAACUCAGCUCACGUGCACAUUUAUAUGCGUUGCCUGAUGCUCGAUUCAAGAAAGUUCUUUGUUUCGUUCGGGAUACACCGUUUGAUCGGACCUAUUCCCCUUAAAUUAGCAAACAGAAGAAACUCGAGAAACGUGGCUUCGUUCACGUGGAACGAAACUCGAGGA